UACGUAGGGGGCAAGCGUUAUCCGGAUUUACUGGGUGUAAAGGGAGCGUAGACGGCAGGGCAAGUCUGGAGUGAAAGGCAGGGGCCCAACCCCUGGACUGCUCUGGAAACUGUCCGGCUGGAGUGCAGGAGAGGUAAGUGGAAUUCCUAGUGUAGCGGUGAAAUGCGUAGAUAUUAGGAGGAACACCAGUGGCGAAGGCGGCUCACUGGACUGUAACUGACGUUGGGGCUCGAAAGCGUGGGGAGCAAACAGG
This 253-nucleotide ribosomal RNA is filed under the name uncultured bacterium. Its description in RNAcentral is "partial 16S ribosomal RNA". It matches the Rfam family "Bacterial small subunit ribosomal RNA", at positions 524 to 776 of the family's 1533-position model. The record is from RNAcentral.